UCUCAUUUCUUUUUUAAAAACACACAGUUUGGUUUUAGACAACAGUGGGCAGAAUAGAGACUUCAGGAGAAGUGUACGUGAUGUAAGAGAUUAUUUCAUCCAUCCAUACAAGAAUGCACGCGGUCAGAUAAUACGAAGACCAUUGGGGGAGUUACGGAUCGUUACAAACCCAUUAGCUGAAUCGUCAAGAAGGGAAUCUGAAAAUCGUGGAUCAGUUCAUCACGCUGGAACAGGAGGAGGACGUCACGGGCCCACGAGUGGAUUCUAUCGCUCGGCGCGCGGAAGUUUGCGUGAGGACAUUACAGCGUCUACGAGAGACACAGCGAUCGCAGGACCAUCUUCACAUCCUACACUACAUCAAUCGUGUGUAAAAAAGGAUAGCCUCGCUCUUUUGAACGAUUACUUACGUAGGCUGAACAAGAGCGAACUUUGCUGCGAAGACGAGUUGGUCGAGCAGGUUCCAGCAGGACAACAAACCAUCUCAUCUGAA
This is a long non-coding RNA of Archocentrus centrarchus (flier cichlid), 490 nucleotides long. RefSeq lists it as uncharacterized. The record is from RefSeq and is a predicted model, not a curated record. NCBI's taxonomy places the organism in Eukaryota, Metazoa, Chordata, Actinopteri, Cichliformes, Cichlidae. The transcript is spliced from 4 exons.